Triticum aestivum (bread wheat) is the source of this 318-nucleotide long non-coding RNA. RefSeq lists it as uncharacterized. The record is from RefSeq and is a predicted model, not a curated record. The transcript has 3 exons. NCBI's taxonomy places the organism in Eukaryota, Viridiplantae, Streptophyta, Magnoliopsida, Poales, Poaceae.
UUUUUUUAUGCCCUACAUUCUACCGCAAAUACAUUUGGAUUUGCAUAUUUUGAGUCCUGCUACUACUAAUUUGACUUAUGAUGUCCAUGGUUUAGGAUGAUUGGUCGCAGCUCAUCUUCUAUCAUGAGUUUCUUAUUUGCAGGUGAUGAUCUUGCUGCAACUUGCUUGCUGCCUUGGUUUACAGUGAGCUAGCUGCUGCAGCCCUUUUGUUUCUUUAGAGGACACAGAUGACAGAAACGCCACCAUGGAAUCAGGUUGUUACCUUUUUUCCGACUUGUCUGCGUGUAUCCAUGCAAUUGUUUCUACUCCCUCCGUUUC